CGGCCUGCUUAACACAUGCAAGUCGAACGGAAAGGCCUCAGCUUGCUGGGGUACUCGAGUGGCGAACGGGUGAGUAACACGUGGGUGAUCUGCCCUGCACUUUGGGAUAAGCUUGGGAAACUGGGUCUAAUACCGAAUAUGACCACUUCUUGGAUGUUGUGGUGGAAAGCUUUUGCGGUGUGGGAUGAGCCUGCGGCCUAUCAGCUUGUUGGUGGGGUAAUGGCCUACCAANGCGGCGACGGGUAUCCGGCCUGAGAGGGUGUACGGACACAUUGGGACUGAGAUACGGCCCAGACUCCUACGGGAGGCAGCAGUGGGGAAUAUUGCACAAUGGGCGCAAGCCUGAUGCAGCGACGCCGCGUGGGGGAUGAAGGCCUUCGGGUUGUAAACUCCUUUCGCUAUCGACGAAGCCACUUGUGGUGACGGUAGGUAUAUAAGAAGCACCGNUUAACUACGUGCCAGCAGCCGCGGUUAUACGUAGGGCGCANGCUUUGUCCGGAAUUACUGGGCGUAAAGAGCUCNNGGGNGGUUUGUCGCGUCGUCUGUGAAAUCCCGGGGCUUAACUUNGNGCGUGCNNGCGAUACGGGCAUAACUUGAGUGCUGUAGGGGANACUGGAAUUCCUGGUGUAGCGGUGAAAUGCGCANAUAUCAAGAGGAACACCNAUGGCNANNGCAUGUCUCUGGGCAGUAACUUGACGCUGAGGAGCGAAAGCAUGGGUAGCGAACAGGAUUAGAUACCCUGGUAGUCCAUGCCGUAAACGGUGGGCGCUAGGUGUAGGGGGCUUCCACGUCUUCUGUGCCGUAGCUAACGCAUUAAGCGCCCCGCCUGGGGAGUACGGCCGCAAGGCUAAAACUCAAAGGAAUUGACGGGGGCCCGCACAAGCGGCGGAGCAUGUGGAUUAAUUCGAUGCAACGCGAAGAACCUUACCUGGGCUUGACAUGUACCGGAUUGGGCUANAGAUAGUCUUUCCCUUGUGGUCGGUAUACAGGUGGUGCAUGGUUGUCGUCAGCUCGUGUCGUGAGAUGUUGGGUUAAGUCCCGCAACGAGCGCAACCCUUGUCUUAUGUUGCCAGCACGUUAUGGUGGGAACUCAUGAGAGACUGCCGGGGUUAACUCGGAGGAAGGUGGGGAUGACGUCAAAUCAUCAUGCCCCUUAUGUCCAGGGCUUCACACAUGCUACAA
Molecule: ribosomal RNA, 1182 nt
Filed under: Corynebacterium casei
Lineage: Bacteria; Bacillati; Actinomycetota; Actinomycetes; Mycobacteriales; Corynebacteriaceae
Description: bacterial SSU rRNA
Rfam family: Bacterial small subunit ribosomal RNA
Source: RNAcentral